Molecule: ribosomal RNA, 930 nt
Filed under: Cookeina indica
Lineage: Eukaryota; Fungi; Ascomycota; Pezizomycetes; Pezizales; Sarcoscyphaceae
Description: partial large subunit ribosomal RNA
Rfam family: Eukaryotic large subunit ribosomal RNA
Source: RNAcentral
GUUAGCAUAUCAAUAAGCGGAGGAAAAGAAACCAACAGGGAUUGCCUUAGUAACUGCGAGUGAAGCGGCAAGAGCUCAGAUUUGAAAUCUGUCGCCUUCGGCGGCCGAGUUGUAAUCUGGAGAGGCAUCUUCUGGCGGGCGGCCGGUCCAAGUUCCUUGGAACAGGACGUCAGAGAGGGUGAGAAUCCCGUAUCUGGCCGGUGCGUUCUGCCUUGUGAAGUGUCUUCGACGAGUCGAGUUGUUUGGGAAUGCAGCUCAAAAUGGGUGGUAAAUUUCAUCUAAAGCUAAAUAUUGGCGGGAGACCGAUAGCGCACAAGUAGAGUGAUCGAAAGAUGAAAAGCACUUUGAAAAGAGAGUCAAAAAGUACGUGAAAUUGUUGAAAGGGAAGCGCUUGAGACCAGACUCGGGCUUGGGUGAUCAGCCGCGGUUCUCCGCGGUGCACGCGCCUUUGCCCGGGCCAGCAUCGGUUUCGGCGGCGGGAUAAAGGUCGGGGUAAUGUGGCUCCCUUCGGGGAGUGUUAUAGACCCCGGCGUCAUGCCGCCAGUCGGGACCGAGGACCGCGCUUCGGCUAGGAUGCUGGCGUAAUGGUCUUCAGCGACCCGUCUUGAAACACGGACCAAGGAGUCUAACAUCUAUGCGAGUGUUCGGGUGUCAAACCCCUGCGCGUAAUGAAAGUGAACGGAGGUGGGAACCCCUUGCGGGGCGCACCAUCGACCGAUCCUGAUGUCUUCGGAUGGAUUUGAGUAGGAGCAUAGCUGUUGGGACCCGAAAGAUGGUGAACUAUGCCUGAAUAGGGUGAAGCCAGAGGAAACUCUGGUGGAGGCUCGCAGCGGUUCUGACGUGCAAAUCGAUCGUCAAAUUUGGGUAUAGGGGCGAAAGACUAAUCGAAUCAUCUAGUAACUGGGUCCUGCCAAAAUUUUCCCUCAGGAA